AUUGAACGCUGGCGGCAUGCUUUACACAUGCAAGUCGAACGGCAGCACGAAAGAGCUUGCUCUUUUGGUGGCGAGUGGCGAACGGGUGAGUAAUGCAUCGGAACGUACCGAGUAAUGGGGGAUAACUGUCCGAGAGGAUAGCUAAUACCGCAUACGCUUUGAGAAGGAAAGUGGGGGCUCUUCGGACCUCACGUUAUUCGAGCGGCCGAUGUCUGAUUAGCUAGUUGGUGGGGUAAAGGCCUACCAAGGCGACGAUCAGUAGCGGGUCUGAGAGGAUGAUCCGCCACACUGGGACUGAGACACGGCCCAGACUCCUACGGGAGGCAGCAGUGGGGAAUUUUGGACAAUGGGCGCAAGCCUGAUCCAGCCAUGCCGCGUGUCUGAAGAAGGCCUUCGGGUUGUAAAGGACUUUUGUUAGGGAAGAAAAGGAUAGUGUUAAUACCAUUAUCUGCUGACGGUACCUAAAGAAUAAGCACCGGCUAACUACGUG
This 490-nucleotide ribosomal RNA is filed under the name uncultured bacterium. RNAcentral describes it as "partial 16S ribosomal RNA". It matches the Rfam family "Bacterial small subunit ribosomal RNA", at positions 30 to 507 of the family's 1533-position model. The record is from RNAcentral.